RNAcentral lists this ribosomal RNA (1308 nucleotides) under Deronectes costipennis. RNAcentral describes it as "16S ribosomal RNA". The stretch from base 1066 to 1224 matches the Rfam family "Archaeal large subunit ribosomal RNA", at positions 2542 to 2701 of the family's 2987-position model. Lineage: Eukaryota; Metazoa; Arthropoda; Insecta; Coleoptera; Dytiscidae. The record is from RNAcentral.
AAUUUAGUAAUUAUUUAUUAUGAAUUUUUUAAUUUAUUAAUAAAAAUAAUUUUAAUGAAUUGAGUUUUUUGUAUAUUUUAUAGAUAAAAUUAAUUUAAUUAUAGUUAAUUAGUAUUGUCAAAGAAUUUUGAAAUAUAAGGUUAUUUAUUAAAAAGUAAAAUUAAUUUUUUGUACCUUGUGUAUCAGGGUUUAUUAAAAAUGAAUUAUUUAAUUAAUUUUCCCGAGUUUAAGAGAGAGAAUAAAUAAUUUUAAUUAUUGUAAAAAAAAUAUUAAUAAUUAUUUAUUAGUAAUGAAAAGUUAUUCGUUCUUAAAUAUAUCUGGUUUAUUUAGAAAUGAAUUUAAUUCAGUUAUUUUUAUUUUAUUAAUUUAUUUUUUUAAGUUAUUAAAUUUAAUUAAUAAUAAUUAAGGGGAUUAGCUUUUAAUUAUAUUUCUAUAAUUAAUUUAUUGAGUUAAAGAUUUAUAGGUUUAGAAAUAUCCAUUAAUAAUAAUUUGUUAUAAUUAGUUUUUAAAUUAAUAAGAUUUGAUUAAAAAUUUAGAUAUUUAUAAAUAAAUAAUAUUGAAUUAUUUCAUAUUAGUUAUGAUGAUAAAAUUAGUAUAUUUUAAAUAUUGGAUUAAUAGUUUUUUUUAGAUUAUUUAAAGGAAUUAGGCAAAAAUUUUUAUUCGCCUGUUUAACAAAAACAUGUCCUUUAGAUUAAAUAAUUUAAGGUCUGACCUGCCCACUGAGAAAUUUAAAGGCCGCAGUAAUUUGACUGUGCAAAGGUAGCAUAAUCAUUAGUUUUUUAAUUAAAAGCUUGUAUGAAUGGUUGGACGAGAUAAAAUCUGUCUCUGAUUAAUAAAUAAAAUUUAAUUUUUAAGUUAAAAAGCUUAAAUUAAUAUAAAAGACGAGAAGACCCUAUAGAUCUUAAUAUAAUAUUUUAAGAUUUUAUUUAAGAUUAUUUUAUUAAUUUUAUUAUUUUAUAUUUUAUUGGGGUAAUAAAAAGAUUGAAUAAAUUCUUUUUCAUAUUUAACAAUAAUAAUUGAUUUUUUGAUCCAUUAAUAGUGAUUAUAAGAUUAAGUUACCUUAGGGAUAACAGCGUAAUUUUUUUAGAGAGUUCAUAUCGAUAAUAAAGUUUGCGACCUCGAUGUUGGAUUAAAAAUUAUUUUGGGUGUAGAAGUUCAAAAUUUUGGUCUGUUCGACCAUUAAAUUUUUACAUGAUCUGAGUUCAGACCGGCGUAAGCCAGGUCGGUUUCUAUCUUUAUUAAAUUUAUAUAUUUUAGUACGAAAGGACCAAAUAUUUGAUAUAUUAAUAUUUUAUUUUGAUUAAUAUU